RNAcentral lists this ribosomal RNA (301 nucleotides) under uncultured bacterium. Its description in RNAcentral is "partial 16S ribosomal RNA". It matches the Rfam family "Bacterial small subunit ribosomal RNA", at positions 509 to 807 of the family's 1533-position model. The record is from RNAcentral.
CAGUAGCCGCGGUAAUACGAAGGGGGCUAGCGUUGCUCGGAAUUACUGGGCGUAAAGGGCGCGUAGGCGGACAGUUCAGUCGGGGGUGAAAGCCCGGGGCUCAACCUCGGAAUUGCCUUCGAUACUGGCUGUCUUGAGUAUGAGAGAGGUGUGUGGAACUCCGAGUGUAGAGGUGAAAUUCGUAGAUAUUCGGAAGAACACCAGUGGCGAAGGCGACACACUGGCUCAUUACUGACGCUGAGGCGCGAAAGCGUGGGGAGCAAACAGGAUUAGAUACCCGAGUAGUCCCUGUCUCUUAUAC